Sphaeramia orbicularis (orbiculate cardinalfish) is the source of this 106-nucleotide long non-coding RNA. RefSeq lists it as uncharacterized. The record is from RefSeq and is a predicted model, not a curated record. Lineage: Eukaryota; Metazoa; Chordata; Actinopteri; Kurtiformes; Apogonidae. The transcript is spliced from 3 exons.
UACUCUAAUUCUGAAUGGGACCAACUGUUAUCUGAAACAGUUAAUUCAACUCUCUAAGAGUUAAAUUGACACUGUUUUUUACUGUGUAAUAGGCUGUGGAUGUUUC